CACGUAGGGCGCAAGCGUUGUCCGGAAUUAUUGGGCGUAAAGAGCUCGUAGGCGGCUUAGCAAGUCGGGUGUGAAAACUCCAGGCUCAACCUGGAGACGCCACUCGAGACUGCUAUGGCUAGAGUCCGGUAGGGGACCACGGAAUUCCUGGUGUAGCGGUGAAAUGCGCAGAUAUCAGGAGGAACACCGGUGGCGAAGGCGGUGGUCUGGGCCGGCACUGACGCUGAGGAGCGAAAGCGUGGGGAGCAAACAGG
Molecule: ribosomal RNA, 254 nt
Filed under: uncultured bacterium
Lineage: Bacteria
Description: partial 16S ribosomal RNA
Rfam family: Bacterial small subunit ribosomal RNA
Source: RNAcentral